AAUAGAUACCCCGGUAGUCCACGCCGUAAACGAUGAGUGCUAAGUGUUAGAGGGUUUCCGCCCUUUAGUGCUGAAGUUAACGCAUUAAGCACUCCGCCUGGGGAGUACGGCCGCAAGGCUGAAACUCAAAGGAAUUGACGGGGGCCCGCACAAGCGGUGGAGCAUGUGGUUUAAUUCGAAGCAACGCGAAGAACCUUACCAGGUCUUGACAUCCUCUGACAACCCUAGAGAUAGGGCUUCUCCUUCGGGAGCAGAGUGACAGGUGGUGCAUGGUUGUCGUCAGCUCGUGUCGUGAGAUGUUGGGUUAAGUCCCGCAACGAGCGCAACCCUUGAUCUUAGUUGCCAUCAUUCAGUUGGGCACUCUAAGGUGACUGCCGGUGACAAACCGGAGGAAGGUGGGGAUGACGCCAAAUCAUCAUGCCCCUUAUGACCUGGGCUACACACGUGCUACAAUGGACGGUACAAAGAGCUGCAAGACCGCGAGGUGGAGCUAAUCUCAUAAAACCGUUCUCAGUUCGGA
RNAcentral lists this ribosomal RNA (520 nucleotides) under uncultured bacterium. RNAcentral's name for it is "bacterial SSU rRNA". It matches the Rfam family "Bacterial small subunit ribosomal RNA", at positions 777 to 1297 of the family's 1533-position model. The record is from RNAcentral.